This 440-nucleotide ribosomal RNA is filed under the name uncultured bacterium. RNAcentral's name for it is "partial 16S ribosomal RNA". It matches the Rfam family "Bacterial small subunit ribosomal RNA", at positions 338 to 795 of the family's 1533-position model. The record is from RNAcentral.
CCUACGGGAGGCAGCAGUGGGGGAUAUUGCACAAUGGGGGAAACCCUGAUGCAGCGACGCCGCGUGUGGGAAGACGGUCUUCUGGAUUGUAAACCACUGUCGCCAGGGACGAAAAUGACGGUACCUGGGGAGGAAGCUCCGUCUCACGACGUGCCAGCAGCGGCGGUAAUACGUAGGGAGCAAGCGUUGUACGGAGUUACUGGGUGUAAUGGGAGCGUAGGCGGGGAUGCAAGUUGGGUGUAAAAACUACCGGCUCAACCGAUAGUCGCACUCAAAACUGCAGCUCGUGAGUGAAGGAGAGGCAGGCGGAAUUCCUAGUGUAGCGGUGAAAUGCGUAGAUAUUAGGAGGAACACCAGUGGCGAAGGCGGCCUGCUGGGCGUUUACUGACGCUGAGGCUCGAAAGUGUGGGGAGCAAACAGGAUUAGAUACCCGGGUAGUC